ACAUCCAGAGAAUUUAGCAGAGAUGCUUUAGUGCCUUCGGGAACUCUGAGACAGGUGCUGCAUGGCUGUCGUCAGCUCGUGUUGUGAAAUGUUGGGUUAAGUCCCGNAACGAGCGCAACCCUUAUCCUUUGUUGCCAGCACGUAAUGGUGGGAACUCAAAGGAGACUGCCGGUGAUAAACCGGAGGAAGGUGGGGAUGACGUCAAGUCAUCAUGGCCCUUACGAGUAGGGCUACACACGUGCUACAAUGGCGUAUACAAAGAGAAGCGACCUCGCGAGAGCAAGCGGACCUCAUAAAGUGCGUCGCAGUCCGGAUUGGAGUCUGCAACUCGACUCCAUGAAGUCGGAAUCGCUAGUAAUCGUAAAUCAGAAUGUUACGGUGAAUACGUUCCCGGGCCUUGUACACACCGCCCGUCACACCAUGGGAGUGGGUUGCAAAAGAAGUAGAUAGCUUAACCUUCGGGAGGGCGUUUACCACUUUGUGAUUCAUGACUGGGGUGAAGUCGUAACAAGGUAGGCGUAGUGCU
RNAcentral lists this ribosomal RNA (526 nucleotides) under uncultured bacterium. RNAcentral's name for it is "bacterial SSU rRNA". It matches the Rfam family "Bacterial small subunit ribosomal RNA", at positions 984 to 1509 of the family's 1533-position model. The record is from RNAcentral.